This 312-nucleotide ribosomal RNA is filed under the name uncultured bacterium. Its description in RNAcentral is "bacterial SSU rRNA". It matches the Rfam family "Bacterial small subunit ribosomal RNA", at positions 28 to 334 of the family's 1533-position model. The record is from RNAcentral.
GAUGAACGCUAGCUACAGGCUUAACACAUGCAAGUCGAGGGGCAGCGCAGUGUAGCAAUACAUGGGCGGCGACCGGCGCACGGGUGCGUAACGCGUAUCCAACCUUCCCGUUACUCAGGGAUAGCCUUCCGAAAGGGAGAUUAAUACCUGAUGGUGUUCAAAUUCCGCAUGUUAUUUGAACUAAAGAUUUAUCGGUAACGGAUGGGGAUGCGUGACAUUAGGUAGAUGGCGGGGUAACGGCCCACCAUGCCUACGAUGUCUAGGGGUUCUGAGAGGAACGGUCCCCCACACUGGAACUGAGACACGGUCCAG